AAGUUGAUAGCAAGUUCAUCAAACCAACUUCCAUUGAAAUCUGAAGCUACCUACCACUCAAAACCUAAAGAAGUGGUAACUCCUUUUCAUUUCCUAUUCACUCAUGCCUUUGUUUACUUGUCUAGCUCGGUCAAAAAAAUGAGCAUGUCCCUGUGGCAUAAUUGAAUUGCUUAUAUUGAAUUAAAAAGAUAUCCUUAGAAUCCUACAGCAAGAUAUAGCAAGGUAAAGAUUACUAUUUACAGACAAUUUACAUAUUAGCAAAAUGCGAUGCACCGAUUUGAAGGUCAACCAAGGUAUGUAGUUGUCAGCUUCGCUUGUUGUGGUCUUCGGCAAACAUACUGAGACCUGUUACAUGACACAUACAGGGUAGGAACUUAUUGUCCAUAAGAAUGUAUGAAGCAAAAGAAAUACAGAAAUGUCAUGUGAUGAGAGAAGUAUCAAGAAGCAGUGUAGCUAAGUUAUGUAUUUCAACUAUAAAAAAAAGGGUAACCCGGUGCACUAAGCUCCCGCUAUGCGCUGGGUCCGGGGAAGGAUUCAACAGAAAAUAGCUAUUCAAUACCAACUUUCAAGCAGCAUCCUUUUCCAUUUUAUCAUGCUAAUUGUAUAAAUCAGGUCCAAAAUAGUUGAAAGGUAUAAAUAGAAUGCAAAAUUUCAGCAGCACUUCAUACUCUCUACCUGCAUCUAGAUGUCAUAAGCUUCGCUUUUCAAAUAGUUGCGUUGAUGAUUCAGAAAAUGUAGCCAAUUGAAAUUUAGUGCAGAAUUUAGCACUUUCUUGUUUUCAAUACUUUGUUGUUCGUUUGGUUACCGUAAAAAUAUACUCUAAAGUUCUGCUAAUUUGCAAAGGCAAAGUUAGAAUUCAAAGAAAAGGUUAGCCAAUCCAACAGCUAGGGACAUGUCAUUCAACAACAAAAAAACCAGUGUAAUCCCACAAGUCACAAGUAGCGUCUGGAAGGACAUGUCAUUCAAAAAGAAAGAAAUCAGUAAAUAUGGGUGAAAAUGCCAGAUAAAUGCACAAGCAUCAACCCAAAAAUGGAAAUGAAAUCAAUACUAUUUACAUGGUUCACAUUGUAUCUUGUGAAAGAAAGGCACACAGAAAUGACCUUGGACAGUAUUUUAAUAUUAUUUCGACCUAGAUCACAGUAAAAUGGUGUGAACUUUACAUGUCAACAUAAUUAAUCAGUGGAAUGUCUUAAGGGGAAUUUCAAAGUCUUCUUCAAUAUUCUCUCAAAAUAGACCUUGUUAAUAUAAGUUGUGGAAAGCUAGGAGAUAAGAAGUGUGUAUAAUAGCAUAUAUGAGAAAAGAGGCAUGUAGAGGCAAUUUAAAGUUACCUUAAAUAGGUGACAAUCCAUUGCAGAUUAACUUCACAGCAAAUCCACUCCAUCUAAUCCAAGAAAUAUUGAUAAAGAACCACGAAGAUUUCAAAUGAGAAA
RNAcentral lists this long non-coding RNA (1430 nucleotides) under Nicotiana tabacum (common tobacco). RNAcentral's name for it is "long non-coding RNA (NTAB_LNC004237)". The record is from RNAcentral. Lineage: Eukaryota; Viridiplantae; Streptophyta; Magnoliopsida; Solanales; Solanaceae.